Molecule: ribosomal RNA, 234 nt
Filed under: uncultured bacterium
Lineage: Bacteria
Description: partial 16S ribosomal RNA
Rfam family: Bacterial small subunit ribosomal RNA
Source: RNAcentral
CCUUGUAGCGGGGGAUAACUAUUGGAAACGAUAGCUAAUACCGCAUAACAAUGGAUGACACAUGUCACUUUAUUUUGAAAGGAAGCAAUUGCUCCACUACAGAUGGACCUGCGGUUGUAUUAGCUAGUAGGUGAGGUAAUGGCUCACCUAGGCGACGAUACAUAGCCGACCUGAGAGGGUGAUCGGCCACACUGGGACUGAGACACGGCCCAGACUCCUACGGGAGGCAGCAUG